RNAcentral lists this long non-coding RNA (2119 nucleotides) under Callithrix jacchus (white-tufted-ear marmoset). RNAcentral's name for it is "lncRNA (ENSCJAG00000052034.2)". Lineage: Eukaryota; Metazoa; Chordata; Mammalia; Primates; Cebidae. The record is from RNAcentral.
GACGGUUAAAAUGGUGAAUUCCAUGUUGUAUGUAUUUUACCACAAUUUAAAAAGGUAAUACAUGCUAUAAAAGAAACAAUAGGUUGGGCGCGGUGGCUCACACCUGUAAUCCCAGCACUUUGGGAGGCUGAGGUGGGUGGAUCACCUGAGGUCAGGAGUUCGAGACCAGCCUGGCCAAAAUGGUGAAAUACCAUCUCUACUAAAAAUAAAAACAAAAACAUUAGCUGGGCAUGGUGGCAGGUGCCUGUAAUCCCAGCUACUUGGGAGGCUGAGGCAUGAGAAUUGCUUGAACCUGGGAGCAGAGGUUGUAGAGAGCUGAGAUUGUACCACUGUACUCCAGUCUGGGCAACAAGAGUAAAACUCCAUCUCAAAAAAAAAAAGAAAAAGAAGAAAGAAUAGCCCUCAUAGCAGGGACCAAGGCUUCCCCUCGGGUGUGGUCAGUGACAGUGCCUCUGAGGGGCACCGUGUGACUUUAUGGGUGAAGGCCGCCAGAGCUGGGGCAGAGGUGACCGCAGGGCGGGAAACAGCAGUGCAGAGUGUGGCGUGCGGACGCCGGGUGGGUGGCAGAGCCUGGUGCACGGACCAGGGCGAGCCAGCCCCUGUGAACCUCAGGGGAUGAGCCACGGUCAGCAAAGCAGGCAGCAACCAAACGUUUUCAUUACAAUCACACUUUUAAAAAACCUUCUGUAAUUUCAGUUUGGAUUUCUCCUGUCACCCAAGAGUUGUUUUUAAACUUUCAGGUGGAAGGGCCCUUUACAAUAACAUUGUUGAUACAUUCUCAUGAUCUUUUCAUCGUGGCCAGAGCGCACGGUGUCCAGUUUCUAGCUUACAGGGUUUCCUGGUGUCCUCUUUGUGACCUGUGCCAGUGUUGCCUGUGGGUGGCCAGGUCGGGUUCCCGACUUCGCUGCACGAAAGAAUGUGGAGCGAGUCCACGGUAGGAGCAGGCAGAGGAGUCUACUGCAGAGCGAACGCCCACGCUGACAGACGGCAGCUGCUGGGUGGGGAAGCAGGCCCUGGUGCCUUGAGGGGAAUUCCCUCGUGGGAGCUGGACCUGCGUCUUCGUAAAAUCCAGGAGGAAACAUUUGGAAGAGGUCCGUCUUCAGGGCUGAGCUUCAGACCCUGCUGGAGCAGCGUUGCCUCAGCCAAGGCCGGCAGGAGAGCGCCCUUUGGGAGCUGCAGCAGGAGCCGUCCACACUGGCAAGGAGCCAUCCACACUGGCAAGGCCCUCAGAGGCCACUAGGAGCUGUUCACUGGGCACCACUGGAACUGUGGGCUGGGGGGGCCCCUCUGGGUGUCCUGAGGGCCAGGCCCGUGAGCGCCGUAGGGGCAGGUGGGAAGCAAAGCAAUAGCGUGGGAUUGGGAGGUGGCUGCCUGAAGCGUCCCCUCUCUGAGGAAGCGCUCGGCAGGAGCAGUGCUGGGGGAUGUGGCUGGACUGGAGGCAGCAGGUGGAUUUGGAGCACAGAGCCACGGGGUCCCCAGUGCUGGCUGCUUCACAGGGCGGAUGGGCUGUCUGCGGACUAAAGGAGGCUCUGGGAAGCCACCAAAGGGUUGCAGUCAGCGUGUGACUUGCUCUGUAUUUCAGAAAGGUCCCCGAGGAUCCGGUCUGGGGAGUGGAGUGGACUGGGGCCCCUGGGUGCUGAUGCCGGGUGAGGGUGGGGCUCAGCAGGGCUGCACAGGUGCGUUUCGUAAAAUCAUGAUGGACACAAGAUAGACGCGGAGUCCUGAUCCAGAAGUGUCAGCAGGGACAGCUGGUGCAGCUGAGUGUCCGGAAAGAAGGGAUGUGAGUUAAAUAAGAAAAAAAAAUCGUGCCGGGCACGGUGGCUCACGCCUGUAAUCCCAGCACUUUAGGAGGCUGAGGUGGUGGAUCACGAGGUCAAGAGAUCGAGACCAUCCUGAUCAACAUGGUGAAACCCCGUCUCUACUAAAAAUACAAAAAAUUAGCUGGGCAUGGUGGCACGUGCCUGUAAUCCCAGCUACUCAGGAGGCUGAGGCAGGAGAAUUGCCUGAACCCAGGAGGCGGAGGUUGCGGUGAGCUGAGAUCGCGCCAUUGCACUCCAGCCUGGGUAACAAGAGCGAAACUCCGUCUCAAAAAAAAAGAAAGAAAGAAAGAAAAAAAAAU